Molecule: ribosomal RNA, 253 nt
Filed under: uncultured bacterium
Lineage: Bacteria
Description: partial 16S ribosomal RNA
Rfam family: Bacterial small subunit ribosomal RNA
Source: RNAcentral
UACAGAGGGUGCGAGCGUUAAUCGGAAUUACUGGGCGUAAAGCGUGCGCAGGCGGCUCCUUAAGUCAGAUGUGAAAUCCCCGGGCUUAACCUGGGAACUGCGUUUGAAACUGGGGAGCUAGAGUGUAGAAGAGGGGGGUGGAAUUCCAGGUGUAGCAGUGAAAUGCGUAGAGAUCUGGAGGAACACCGAUGGCGAAGGCAGCCCCCUGGGCUAACACUGACGCUCAUGCACGAAAGCGUGGGGAGCAAACAGG